CCUACGGGUGGCAGCAGUGGGGAAUAUUGCACAAUGGGGGAAACCCUGAUGCAGCGACGCCGCGUGAGUGAAGAAGUAAUUCGUUACGUAAAGCUCUAUCAGCAGGGAAGAAACACUGACCUUACGGUCAGCAGACGGUACCUGACUAAGAAGCCCCGGCUAACUACGUGCCAGCAGCCGCGGUAAUACGUAGGGGGCAAGCAUUAUCCGGAUUUACUGGGUGUAAAGGGAGCGUAGACGGCAGCACAAGUCUGGAGUGAAAGCCCGGGGCUUAACCCCGGAACUGCUUUGGAAACUGUGCGGCUGGAGUGCAGGAGGGGUAAGCGGAAUUCCUAGUGUAGCGGUGAAAUGCGUAGAUAUUAGGAGGAACACCGGUGGCGAAGGCGGCUUACUGGACUGUAACUGACGUUGAGGCUCGAAAGCGUGGGGAGCAAACAGGAUUAGAUACCCCAGUAGUC
This 458-nucleotide ribosomal RNA is filed under the name uncultured bacterium. RNAcentral's name for it is "partial 16S ribosomal RNA". It matches the Rfam family "Bacterial small subunit ribosomal RNA", at positions 338 to 795 of the family's 1533-position model. The record is from RNAcentral.